This 460-nucleotide ribosomal RNA is filed under the name uncultured bacterium. RNAcentral's name for it is "partial 16S ribosomal RNA". It matches the Rfam family "Bacterial small subunit ribosomal RNA", at positions 338 to 795 of the family's 1533-position model. The record is from RNAcentral.
CCUACGUGAGGCAGCAGUGAGGAAUAUUGGUCAAUGGCCGUAAGGCUGAACCAGCCAAGUAGCGUGAGGGAAGACUGCCCUAUGGGUUGUCAACCUCUUUUAUGCGGGGAUAAAGGUGUCCACGUGUGGAUGUUUGCAGGUACCGCAUGAAUAAGGAUCGGCUAAUUCCGUGCCAGCAGCCGCGGUAAUACGGAGGAUCCGAGCGUUAUCCGUAUUUAUUGGGUUUAAAGGGUUCGUAGGCGGCCUUUUAAGUCAGCGGUGAAAGUCUGUGGCUCAACCAUAGAAUUGCCGUUGAAACUGGUAGGCUUGAGAUGUCGAGAGGUAUGAGGAAUGCGAAGUGUAGCGGUGAAAUGCUUAGAUAUUGCGCAGAACUCCGAUUGAGAAGGCAGCAUACCGGCGGCGAGCUGACGCUGAGGCACGAAAGCGUGGGUAUCGAACAGGAUUAGAUACCCCAGUAGUC